UACUACUGUGCUUUAACAAUUAUGGUUUGCAAUGCUUAUGAUGACAUGAUCCGUUUUUAGUAACCGUAACAUCAGGGAUGUUACACAACGCCCUCGACCUAUUCUCAAACUUUAAAUAGGUAGGACGGCACGGCUGCUCCGGUGAGCCGUGCCAUGGAAUCGGGAGCUCCAAGUGGGCCAUUUUUGGUAAGCAGAACUGGCGAUGCGGGAUGAACCGGAAGCCGGGUUACGGUGCCAAACUGCGCGCUAACCUAGAACCCACAAAGGGUGUUGGUCGAUUAAGACAGCAGGACGGUGGUCAUGGAAGUCGAAAUCCGCUAAGGAGUGUGUAACAACUCACCUGCCGAAUCAACUAGCCCCGAAAAUGGAUGGCGCUGAAGCGCGCGACCCACACCCGGCCAUCUGGGCGAGCGCCAUGCCCCGAUGAGUAGGAGGGCGCGGCGGCCGCUGCAAAACCCGGGGCGCGAGCCUGGGCGGAGCGGCCGUCGGUG
Molecule: ribosomal RNA, 491 nt
Filed under: Sorghum bicolor (sorghum)
Lineage: Eukaryota; Viridiplantae; Streptophyta; Magnoliopsida; Poales; Poaceae
Description: rRNA LSU_rRNA_eukarya
Rfam family: Eukaryotic large subunit ribosomal RNA
Source: RNAcentral